GACGAACGCUGGCGGCGUGCUUAACACAUGCAAGUCGAACGGAAAGGCCCUGCUUUUGCGGGGUGCUCGAGUGGCGAACGGGUGAGUAACACGUGAGUAACCUGCCCUUGACUUUGGGAUAACUUCAGGAAACUGGGGCUAAUACCGGAUAGGAGCUCCUGCUGCAUGGUGGGGGUUGGAAAGUUUCGGCGGUUGGGGAUGGACUCGCGGCUUAUCAGCUUGUUGGUGGGGUAGUGGCUUACCAAGGCUUUGACGGGUAGCCGGCCUGAGAGGGUGACCGGCCACAUUGGGACUGAGAUACGGCCCAGACUCCUACGGGAGGCAGCAGUGGGGAAUAUUGCACAAUGGGCGAAAGCCUGAUGCAGCAACGCCGCGUGCGGGAUGACGGCCUUCGGGUUGUAAACCGCUUUCGCCUGUGACGAAGCGUGAGUGACGGUAAUGGGUAAAGAAGCACCGGCUAACUACGUG
This 468-nucleotide ribosomal RNA is filed under the name uncultured bacterium. RNAcentral describes it as "partial 16S ribosomal RNA". It matches the Rfam family "Bacterial small subunit ribosomal RNA", at positions 28 to 507 of the family's 1533-position model. The record is from RNAcentral.